AGGAGAAAGAAAUCAAGCACCCCAAUGCCCACCCUUGCCAGGAGGGGGAUACAACGCAGGGGCCCCCAGAAUCUGGGGAGAGAGACGGCGAGCAGUUGUGGGGCAUAGUAAGGCGAAUGAGGGACAUGCCAGAGAGGGGAGUGGGGGGGCACUGGGGGGCAGGGCGGAGGAGUGGGGGAGCACUUGGGAAGGAUGGGGAAAGGAGUGGGCUGUAAGAAAUGGGAUGGGGGAGCACGAGGGGGAGCAGAGGGGAGGAGCAAGGUAUGGUGAACAGGUGGGAUAACACUGGGGCAGGUGGGAUGUAGGGGUUGUCCUGGGGGGCAGGAGCGGGCAGCAGGGUGGUAGUGGGGGCAGGCACUGGAGGAGCAGGGUGUGGUAAACAGAUGGGGUAACACUGGGGCAGGUGGGAUGUAAGGGUUGUUCUAGGGGGCAGGAGCGGGCAGUAGGGUGGUAGUGUGGGCAGGCACUGGAGGAGCAGGGUGUGGUGAACAGAUGGGGUAACACUGGGGCAGGUGGGAUGUAGGGGUUGUCCUGGGGGGCAGGAGCGGGCAGCAGGGUGGUAAUGGGGGCAGGCACUGGAGGAGCAGGGUGUGGUGAACAGAUGGGGUAACACUGGGGCAGGUGGGAUGUAGGGGUUGUCCUGGGGGGCAGGAGCGGGCAGCAGGGUGGUAGUGGGGGCAGGCACUGGAGGAGCAGGGUGUAGUGAACAGAUGGGGUAACAUUGGGGCGGGUGGGAUGUAGGGGUUGUCCUGGGGGGCAGGAGCGGGCAGCAGGGUGGUAGUGGGGGCAGGCACUGGAGGAGCAGGGUGUGGUGAACAGAUGGGGUAACACUGGGGCAGGUGGGAUGUAGGGGUUGUCCUGGGGGGCAGGAGCGGGCAGCAGGGUGGUAGUGGGGGUAGGCACUGGAGGAGCAGGGUGUGGUGAACAGAUGGGGUAACACUGGGGCAGGUGGGAUGUAGGGGUUGUCCUGGGGGGCAGGAGCAGGCAGCAGGGUGGUAGUGGGGGCAGGCACUGGAGGAGCAGGGUGUGGUGAACAGAUGGGGUAACACUGGGGCAGGUGGGAUGUAGGGGUUGUCCUGGGGGGCAGGAGCGGGCAGUAGGGUGGUAGUGGGGGCAGGCACUGGUGGAGCAGGGU
This is a long non-coding RNA of Gopherus flavomarginatus (Mexican gopher tortoise), 1135 nucleotides long. RefSeq lists it as uncharacterized. The transcript has 5 exons. The record is from RefSeq and is a predicted model, not a curated record. Lineage: Eukaryota; Metazoa; Chordata; Testudines; Testudinidae.